AAACCGUCCAGGGGUAAACCUGCGAAACUCGAAUGAACGAACGGAGAGAUUCAUCGUCUAUCCGCGGUGCGCCGGUGCGGGUUCGCGAUGUCCUCGGUCUCGGCCGUGGGGCACCGCUCGCAUCGGUAUACAGUAUCCGCGGACGGCGUGCACUUCUCUCUCAGUAAUACAUCGCGACCCGUUCGGUGUCGGUCUAAGUGCCUCUCGGGAGUCUUGCGUUACCGGUGCCUCGUGCAUUGCGUGCGUUCAGACCGAUGAGGUUUCACACCGACCGGCUGCCGGACGGUAGAUCGAAAGAAACGCUCACGCGCUCACUCGUUGGGGCGCGUCCGGCCCGACGCAAGGUAACGUCGUAUCCUCCCGCCUCCUGCCCGAGUGCGGUGGCGGGUGCGGCGCGCCUGUCGUCGCAGCCGUGCUGUCUCGGACCGUGUGCGUAUC
This 438-nucleotide ribosomal RNA is filed under the name Aspitates gilvaria. RNAcentral's name for it is "partial 28S ribosomal RNA". The record is from RNAcentral. Lineage: Eukaryota; Metazoa; Arthropoda; Insecta; Lepidoptera; Geometridae.